AAAUACGAGUGGUAAGUGUUAAUUUUUAUUUUUUUUCUUUGUGAGUGAACUUGUGAGGUUUGUGGUGAGGUUUCUUUUCAUAACAUAAUGUUGAGAAGUCCUGAAAGACAUACGGCGGGUGGCGGUGCAUCCAGGGGUGGUUGCAUGCAGCCAAGAAGGAACAUGGCUGGAGAAGGAGUCCUUAACCUCCAAGUCCAAGCCAUCAUAUGAGAAAUAUCCCGCUUGUUCCAACCGCAAUUUGAUUCCAUCCAAUAACGCAUGGA
Molecule: long non-coding RNA, 263 nt
Filed under: Gossypium raimondii (Peruvian cotton)
Lineage: Eukaryota; Viridiplantae; Streptophyta; Magnoliopsida; Malvales; Malvaceae
Description: long non-coding RNA (GRAI_LNC007411)
Source: RNAcentral